This 252-nucleotide ribosomal RNA is filed under the name uncultured bacterium. RNAcentral describes it as "partial 16S ribosomal RNA". It matches the Rfam family "Bacterial small subunit ribosomal RNA", at positions 524 to 776 of the family's 1533-position model. The record is from RNAcentral.
UACGGAGGAUGCGAGCGUUAUCCGGAUUUAUUGGGUUUAAAGGGUGCGUAGGCGGACUAUCAAGUCAGCGGUAAAAUUGAGAGGCUCAACCUCUUCCCGCCGUUGAAACUGGUGGUCUUGAGUGGAUGAGAAGUACGCGGAAUGCGUGGUGUAGCGGUGAAAUGCAUAGAUAUCACGCAGAACUCCGAUUGCGAAGGCAGCGUACCGGCAUCCAACUGACGCUGUGGCACGAAAGCGUGGGGAUCAAACAGG